This 1451-nucleotide ribosomal RNA is filed under the name uncultured organism. RNAcentral's name for it is "SSU rRNA". It matches the Rfam family "Bacterial small subunit ribosomal RNA". The record is from RNAcentral.
UGGCUCAGGAUGAACGCUAGCUACAGGCUUAACACAUGCAAGUCGAGGGGCAUCAGGAAGAAAGCUUGCUUUCUUUGCUGGCGACCGGCGCACGGGUGAGUAACACGUAUCCAACCUGCCCUUUACUCGGGGAUAGCCUUUCGAAAGAAAGAUUAAUACCCGAUAGCAUAAUGAUUCCGCAUGGUUUCAUUAUUAAAGGAUUCCGGUAAAGGAUGGGGAUGCGUUCCAUUAGGUUGUUGGUGAGGUAACGGCCCACCAAGCCUUCGAUGGAUAGGGGUUCUGAGAGGAAGGUCCCCCACAUUGGAACUGAGACACGGUCCAAACUCCUACGGGAGGCAGCAGUGAGGAAUAUUGGUCAAUGGGCGCUAGCCUGAACCAGCCAAGUAGCGUGAAGGAUGAAGGCUCUAUGGGUCGUAAACUUCUUUUAUAUAAGAAUAAAGUGCAGUAUGUAUACUGUUUUGUAUGUAUUAUAUGAAUAAGGAUCGGCUAACUCCGUGCCAGCAGCCGCGGUAAUACGGAGGAUCCGAGCGUUAUCCGGAUUUAUUGGGUUUAAAGGGAGCGUAGGUGGACUGGUAAGUCAGUUGUGAAAGUUUGCGGCUCAACCGUAAAAUUGCAGUUGAUACUGUCAGUCUUGAGUACAGUAGAGGUGGGCGGAAUUCGUGGUGUAGCGGUGAAAUGCUUAGAUAUCACGAAGAACUCCGAUUGCGAAGGCAGCUCACUGGACUGCAACUGACACUGAUGCUCGAAAGUGUGGGUAUCAAACAGGAUUAGAUACCCUGGUAGUCCACACAGUAAACGAUGAAUACUCGCUGUUUGCGAUAUACAGUAAGCGGCCAAGCGAAAGCAUUAAGUAUUCCACCUGGGGAGUACGCCGGCAACGGUGAAACUCAAAGGAAUUGACGGGGGCCCGCACAAGCGGAGGAACAUGUGGUUUAAUUCGAUGAUACGCGAGGAACCUUACCCGGGCUUAAAUUGCAGUGGAAUGAUGUGGAAACAUGUCAGUGAGCAAUCACCGCUGUGAAGGUGCUGCAUGGUUGUCGUCAGCUCGUGCCGUGAGGUGUCGGCUUAAGUGCCAUAACGAGCGCAACCCUUAUCUUUAGUUACUAACAGGUUAUGCUGAGGACUCUAGAGAGACUGCCGUCGUAAGAUGUGAGGAAGGUGGGGAUGACGUCAAAUCAGCACGGCCCUUACGUCCGGGGCUACACACGUGUUACAAUGGGGGGUACAGAAGGCAGCUAGCGGGUGACCGUAUGCUAAUCCCAAAAUCCUCUCUCAGUUCGGAUCGAAGUCUGCAACCCGACUUCGUGAAGCUGGAUUCGCUAGUAAUCGCGCAUCAGCCACGGCGCGGUGAAUACGUUCCCGGGCCUUGUACACACCGCCCGUCAAGCCAUGGGAGCCGGGGGUACCUGAAGUACGUAACCGCAAGGAUCGUCCUAGGGUAAAACUGGUGA